This 521-nucleotide long non-coding RNA is filed under the name Phoenix dactylifera (date palm). RNAcentral describes it as "long non-coding RNA (PDAC_LNC022180)". The record is from RNAcentral. Lineage: Eukaryota; Viridiplantae; Streptophyta; Magnoliopsida; Arecales; Arecaceae.
UUUAAAUCUGCUUUUUGAGAAGCUAUUUUCUGUUUUCUUCUAUCUCGUGUAUUUACUUGAUUCAAUCGGGGGAUUGAAUCAAGGGGAUUAAGGUUGGUUGGUUAGCCGGUUUAAAACCAACGAGUGUAAGGGUUUGAUUGUGAGCCCGGAAAAAUAAUCGGGGUUGGUUCUAGUCGGUGAGCCUGGGAAAACCGACCGAGUUCGUUGUGAGCUCGUAAAACAACAAGUUCGGUUGUGAGCUUGCAAAACAACCGGCUGUAAUCCAAGGGGGUUAUAGUGAAAUUCCCAAGUGAGACUUGGGGAGUGGACGUAGGAGCAAGGGUUAGCUCCAAACCACUAUAAAACUUUGUGUUUGUAGUGCAUUGUCUCUCAUCUUCUUCCCCACACAUUACUCACAGCACUUAGCUUUAAUUAAAUAACUGGCUAUAGUAUUUCAUUAAUCAUCUACAAAGUUUUAAUUAGCUAAGUUAAUUUAAAAACCCAAUUCACCCCCCCCUCUUGGGUUGUCUAUCUGGGCAACA